Molecule: ribosomal RNA, 689 nt
Filed under: uncultured bacterium
Lineage: Bacteria
Description: bacterial SSU rRNA
Rfam family: Bacterial small subunit ribosomal RNA
Source: RNAcentral
UGAGAGUUUUGAUCCUUGGCUCAGAACUAACGCUGGCGGCAGGCUUAACACAUGCAAGUCGAGCGCCCCGCAAGGGGAGCGGCAGACGGNUGAGUAACGCGUGGGAACGUACCCUUUACUACGGAAUAACGCAGGGAAACUUGUGCUAAUACCGUAUGUGCCCUUUGGGGGAAAGAUUUAUCGGUAAAGGAUCGGCCCGCGUUGGAUUAGCUAGUUGGUGGGGUAAAGGCCUACCAAGGCGACGAUCCAUAGCUGGUCUGAGAGGAUGAUCAGCCACAUUGGGACUGAGACACGGCCCAAACUCCUACGGGAGGCAGCAGUGGGGAAUAUUGGACAAUGGGCGCAAGCCUGAUCCAGCCAUGCCGCGUGAGUGAUGAAGGCCCUAGGGUUGUAAAGCUCUUUCACCGGAGAAGAUAAUGACGGUAUCCGGAGAAGAAGCCCCGGCUAACUUCGUGCCAGCAGCCGCGGUAAUACGAAGGGGGCUAGCGUUGUUCGGAAUUACUGGGCGUAAAGCGCACGUAGGCGGAUCGAUCAGUCAGGGGUGAAAUCCCAGGGCUCAACCCUGGAACUGCCUUUGAUACUGUCGAUCUGGAGUAUGGAAGAGGUGAGUGGAAUUCCGAGUGUAGAGGUGAAAUUCGUAGAUAUUCGGAGGAACAUCCAGUGGCGAAGGCGGCUCACUGGUCCAUUAC